AUACGAGGGGUGCAAGCGUUAAUCGGAAUUACUGGGCGUAAAGCGUUCGUAGGCGGUUUGUUAAGCAAGAUGUGAAAGCCCUGGGCUCAACCUGGGAACUGCGUUUUGAACUGGCAAGCUAGAAUACUGUAGAGGGUGGUGGAAUUUCCAGUGUAGCGGUGAAAUGCGUAGAGAUUGGAAGGAACAUCAGUGGCGAAGGCGGCCACCUGGACAGAUAUUGACGCUGAGGAACGAAAGCGUGGGGAGCGAACAGGAUUAGAUACCCCGGUAGUCC
RNAcentral lists this ribosomal RNA (274 nucleotides) under uncultured bacterium. RNAcentral's name for it is "partial 16S ribosomal RNA". It matches the Rfam family "Bacterial small subunit ribosomal RNA", at positions 523 to 796 of the family's 1533-position model. The record is from RNAcentral.